Molecule: ribosomal RNA, 529 nt
Filed under: uncultured bacterium
Lineage: Bacteria
Description: bacterial SSU rRNA
Rfam family: Bacterial small subunit ribosomal RNA
Source: RNAcentral
UUGACAUCCAGAGAAUUUAGCAGAGAUGCUUUAGUGCCUUCGGGAACUCUGAGGACAGGUGCUGCAUGGCUGUCGUCAGCUCGUGUUGUGAAAUGUUGGGUUAAGUCCGCAACGAGCGCAACCCUUAUCCUUUGUUGCCAGCACGUAAUGGUGGGAACUCAAAGGAGACUGCCGGUGAUAAACCGGAGGAAGGUGGGGAUGACGUCAAGUCAUCAUGGCCCUUACGAGUAGGGCUACACACGUGCUACAAUGGCGUAUACAAAGAGAAGCGACCUCGCGAGAGCAAGCGGACCUCAUAAAGUGCGUCGUAGUCCGGAUUGGAGUCUGCAACUCGACUCCAUGAAGUCGGAAUCGCUAGUAAUCGUAAAUCAGAAUGUUACGGUGAAUACGUUCCCGGGCCUUGUACACACCGCCCGUCACACCAUGGGAGUGGGUUGCAAAAGAAGUAGAUAGCUUAACCUUCGGGAGGGCGUUUACCACUUUGUGAUUCAUGACUGGGGUGAAGUCGUAACAAGGUAAGCGUAGUGCU